UGGUGGAGUGAUUUGUCUGGUUAAUUCCGUUAACGAACGAGACCUCAGCCUGCUAAUUAGUUGCUCCAAUGUCUCAUUGGUCGUAGCUCCUUAGAGGGACUAUCGGGAUUCAACCGAGGGAAGUAUGAGGCAAUAACA
RNAcentral lists this ribosomal RNA (138 nucleotides) under uncultured eukaryote. RNAcentral's name for it is "partial 18S ribosomal RNA". It matches the Rfam family "Eukaryotic small subunit ribosomal RNA", at positions 1299 to 1458 of the family's 1831-position model. The record is from RNAcentral.